GACGAACGCUGGCGGCGUGCCUAAUACAUGCAAGUCGAGCGGACUGAUUGGGAGCUUGCUCUUGUUCGGUCAGCGGCGGACGGGUGAGUAACACGUGGGCAACCUGCCCGCAAGACCGGGAUAACUCCGGGAAACCGGAGCUAAUACCGGAUAACACCGAGGACCGCAUGGUCCUUGGGUGAAAGGCGGCGCAAGCUGCCACUUGCGGAUGGGCCCGCGGCGCAUUAGCUAGGUGGUGAGGGAACGGCGAACCACGGCGACGAUGCGUAGCCGGCCUGAGAGGGGGCGCUGCCUCACUGGGACGGGGACACGGCCCGGACCCCUAGGGGAGGCAGCCGGACGGGAUCUUCCGCGAUGGGAGAAAGCCUGACGGUGCGACGCCGCGCGAGCGAAGAAGGCCGUCGGGUCGUAAAGGUCAGUUGUGAGGUACGAAGGUGCGCCGUUUUAAGAAGGCGGGGCGGUGACGGUACCUGAAGAGGAAGCCCCGGCUAACUACGUG
RNAcentral lists this ribosomal RNA (499 nucleotides) under uncultured bacterium. RNAcentral describes it as "partial 16S ribosomal RNA". It matches the Rfam family "Bacterial small subunit ribosomal RNA", at positions 28 to 507 of the family's 1533-position model. The record is from RNAcentral.